CAGUCGAACGAAGCACUUUAUUACGAUUUCUUCGGAAUGACGAUUUAGUGACUGCAGUGGCGGACGGGUGAGUAACGCGUGGGUAACCUGCCUUAUACAGGGGGAUAACAGUUAGAAAUGACUGCUAAUACCGCAUAAGCGCACAGGAUUGCAUGAUCUGGUGUGAAAAACUCCGGUGGUAUAAGAUGGACCCGCGUCUGAUUAGCUGGUUGGUGAGGUAACGGCCCACCAAGGCGACGAUCAGUAGCCGACCUGAGAGGGUGACCGGCCACAUUGGGACUGAGACACGGCCCAAACUCCUACGGGAGGCAGCAGUGGGGAAUAUUGCACAAUGGGGGAAACCCUGAUGCAGCGACGCCGCGUGAGCGAAGAAGUAUUUCGGUAUGUAAAGCUCUAUCAGCAGGGAAGAAAAAAAUGACGGUACCUGACUAAGAAGCCCCGGCUAACUACGUGCCAGCAGCCGCGGUAAUACGUAGGGGGCAAGCGUUAUCCGGAUUUACUGGGUGUAAAGGGAGCGCAGGCGGUGCGGCAAGUCUGAUGUGAAAGCCCGGGGCUCAACCCCGGGACUGCAUUGGAAACUGUCGUACUUGAGUAUCGGAGAGGUAAGUGGAAUUCCUAGUGUAGCGGUGAAAUGCGUAGAUAUUAGGAGGAACACCAGUGGCGAAGGCGGUUUACUGGACGAUAACUGACGCUG
Molecule: ribosomal RNA, 694 nt
Filed under: uncultured bacterium
Lineage: Bacteria
Description: bacterial SSU rRNA
Rfam family: Bacterial small subunit ribosomal RNA
Source: RNAcentral